RNAcentral lists this ribosomal RNA (708 nucleotides) under Arthrobacter sp. SR26(2014). RNAcentral describes it as "bacterial SSU rRNA". It matches the Rfam family "Bacterial small subunit ribosomal RNA", at positions 62 to 800 of the family's 1533-position model. The record is from RNAcentral. Lineage: Bacteria; Bacillati; Actinomycetota; Actinomycetes; Micrococcales; Micrococcaceae.
UCGAACGAUGAAGCCCACUUGUGGGUGGAUUAGUGGCGAACGGGUGAGUAACACGUGAGUAACCUGCCCUUGACUCUGGGAUAAGCCUGGGAAACUGGGUCUAAUACCGGAUAUGACUGAUCAUCGCAUGGUGGUUGGUGGAAAGCUUUUUGGGGUUUUGGAUGGACUCCCGGCCUAUCACCUUGUUGGUGAGGUAAGGGCUUACCAAGGCAACAACGGGUACCCGGCCUGAAAGGGUGACCGGCCACCCUGGGACUGAAACACGGCCCAAACUCCUACGGGAGGCACCAUUGGGGAAUAUUGCACAAGGGGCGCAAGCCUGAUGCACCGACCCCCCGUGAGGAAUGACGGCCUUCGGGUUGUAAACCUCUUUCAUUAGGGAAAAACCCUUUCGGGGUGACGGUACCUGCAAAAAAACCGCCGGCUAACUACUUGCCACCACCCGCGGUAAUACUUAGGGCGCAGGCGUUAUCCGGAAUUAUGGGGCGUAAAAAGUUCGUAGGCGGUUGGUCGCGUCUGCGGUGAAAUUCGGGGGUUCACUCCGGUCUGCGUGGGUACGGCCGACUAGGGUGAUGUAGGGAGCUGGAAUUGCUGGUGUAGCGUGAAAUGCCCAAUACAGGAGGACACCGAUGGCGAGGCAGGUCUCUGGCAUUACUGACGCUGAGGACGAUGCAUGCGAGCGACUGGAUAGAUACCUGUAGUCAUGCG